GCCGGAGUGGCGGAACUGGCAGACGCGCGCGACUCAAAAUCGCGUGCCCAAAAGGCGUGCGGGUUCGAUUCCCGCCUCCGGCA
RNAcentral lists this transfer RNA (83 nucleotides) under Deltaproteobacteria bacterium. RNAcentral's name for it is "tRNA-Leu". It matches the Rfam family "tRNA". Rfam says of the family: Transfer RNA (tRNA) molecules are approximately 80 nucleotides in length. Their secondary structure includes four short double-helical elements and three loops (D, anti-codon, and T loops). RNAcentral also lists the same sequence under 1 other name. The record is from RNAcentral. Lineage: Bacteria; Pseudomonadati; Myxococcota; Myxococcia.